GAGCAUCCGGACCACCGCAAGGAAGGCAGAUAUUCCAUUUUCUUCACUUUGCCCUGCAUCCCCCCGCCAAAGAAAGAACACUGGGAAUUUGGGGAUCUGCACUGGACCAGAGGCAGAAGAUGGGAGAAGUUCCUGUGACUUGGCGAUGAGCCUCAUGAUUGGAUGGAGUGAGAUCUCUCUGAGCCAGACCAAGAAAGAGAGCUGCUGUGGAGGAAGUUCUUGAAGGAUGUAUGCCCAGGAUCAAGGGAAAGACUAAGGAAGAGAAAGAGCAGACACAAGUAGAUGUAGAAGAGUCAUGAAAAGGUGCGUGCCCCCAGAGAACAUCCAGUGCCGGCCCUAAUGAACCACAAGUCUAGAUAAAAACAGGAGAAGAGAGGAAGAAAUAAAAUGGUUACCUUUGAUUGAAUGGAGACCGUCUGGGUAGGUGAA
Fukomys damarensis (Damara mole-rat) is the source of this 429-nucleotide long non-coding RNA. RefSeq lists it as uncharacterized. NCBI's taxonomy places the organism in Eukaryota, Metazoa, Chordata, Mammalia, Rodentia, Bathyergidae. The record is from RefSeq and is a predicted model, not a curated record. The transcript is spliced from 3 exons.